Molecule: ribosomal RNA, 184 nt
Filed under: Xanthomonas euvesicatoria
Lineage: Bacteria; Pseudomonadati; Pseudomonadota; Gammaproteobacteria; Lysobacterales; Lysobacteraceae
Description: partial putative 23S ribosomal RNA
Rfam family: Bacterial large subunit ribosomal RNA
Source: RNAcentral
UGGUCAAGCGAAUAAGCGCACACGGUGGAUGCCUAGGCGGUCAGAGGCGAUGAAGGACGUGGUAGCCUGCGAAAAGUGUCGGGGAGUUGGCAACAAGCUUUGAUCCGGCAAUAUCCGAAUGGGGAAACCCACUGCUUCGGCAGUAUCCUGCAGUGAAUUCAUAGCUGCUGGAAGCGAACCCGGU